GGAAGUAAAAGUCGUAACAGGGUUUCUCUAAUGAUUCUUCUAUGAAGCUUUGCACACAGCGACUCAAAAUAACUUGUGGAGGUUCACUGUCAAAAAGUGAGCGAUGUCACUGAGAUGCUAGGAAUCCAUCUGGAAUGCCAGCAGCCUUGGUUCUGAGUGUCAGAAUUGGGGUUCACAGAUUAAGUGGUGACAGUCAAGGUGGUUCACCAGUGGGGUGAACAAAUAUACCUGAUUAAGAUAUAAUCGGUCAAAUGUUGCAAGACGUGUCUUGAGCCACGUUCCGUAGGUGAACCUGCGGAAGGAUCAUUAACGAGUAAGGGUCAUUCUGGCCCGACUUCCAACCUUUUGUUUAAUUACCAUGUUGCUUUGGCGGGCCCGUUUCACGACCGCCGGAAGUCCUUGGACUUCUCGCCUGUGCCCGCCGGUAGCCUUCUACAAACUCUUGAUCAAUUGUGAUGUCUGAGUAAUAAAUUUAAUAGUUAAAACUUUCAACAACGGAUCUCUUGGUUCUG
This 512-nucleotide unclassified non-coding RNA is filed under the name plant metagenome. RNAcentral describes it as "partial contains small subunit ribosomal RNA, internal transcribed spacer 1, and 5.8S ribosomal RNA". The record is from RNAcentral.